GGUGGAUUGGCUGAGUGGUCGAAAGCGGUGGUUUUGAAAACCAUUGACCUUCACGGGUCCGCAGGUUCGAAUCCUGUGUCCACCGCCA
This 88-nucleotide transfer RNA is filed under the name Halobacteriovorax marinus. RNAcentral's name for it is "tRNA-Ser". It matches the Rfam family "tRNA". Rfam says of the family: Transfer RNA (tRNA) molecules are approximately 80 nucleotides in length. Their secondary structure includes four short double-helical elements and three loops (D, anti-codon, and T loops). Further hydrogen bonds mediate the characteristic L-shaped molecular structure. tRNAs have two regions of fundamental functional importance: the anti-codon, which is responsible for specific mRNA codon recognition, and the 3' end, to which the tRNAs corresponding amino acid is attached (by aminoacyl-tRNA synthetases). tRNAs cope with the degeneracy of the genetic code in two manners: having more than one tRNA (with a specific anti-codon) for a particular amino acid; and 'wobble' base-pairing, i.e. permitting non-standard base-pairing at the 3rd anti-codon position. Lineage: Bacteria; Pseudomonadati; Bdellovibrionota; Bacteriovoracia; Bacteriovoracales; Halobacteriovoraceae. RNAcentral also lists the same sequence under 1 other name. The record is from RNAcentral.